This 200-nucleotide ribosomal RNA is filed under the name uncultured bacterium. RNAcentral's name for it is "partial 16S ribosomal RNA". It matches the Rfam family "Bacterial small subunit ribosomal RNA", at positions 30 to 239 of the family's 1533-position model. The record is from RNAcentral.
AUUGAACGCUGGCGGCAGGCCUAACACAUGCAAGACGAGCGGGGUUUUCGGACCUAGCGGCGGACGGGUGAGUAAUGCGUAGGAAGCUGCCCGAUAGAGGGGGAUACCAGUUGGAAACGACUGUUAAUACCGCAUAAUGUCUACGGACCAAAGUGUGGGACCUUCGACGGCCACAUGCUAGUCGGAUGCGCCUACGUGGG